RNAcentral lists this ribosomal RNA (211 nucleotides) under uncultured bacterium. Its description in RNAcentral is "partial 16S ribosomal RNA". It matches the Rfam family "Bacterial small subunit ribosomal RNA", at positions 349 to 584 of the family's 1533-position model. The record is from RNAcentral.
CAGCAGUAAGGGGAUAUGCGCAAUGGGCGAAAGCCUGACGCAGAACGCCGGUGCCCGAUGAAGGCCUUCGGGUCGUGAAAGGGCUUUCAGGCUGAAGAGGAAGGACGGUAAGCCAGGAAAAAGUGUCGGUAACUACGUGCCAGCAGCCGGGUAAAACGUAGACGCGAGCGUAUCCGGAGUACUGGGCGUAAAGGGCGGCAGGCGGCAACAA